GCCGCGAGGCAGAGCAAAACCCUAAAAAAUCGUCUCAGUUCAGAUUGCAGGCUGCAACUCGCCUGCAUGAAGUCGGAAUUGCUAGUAAUCGCAGAUCAGCAUGCUGCGGUGAAUACGUUCCCGGGCCUUGUACACACCGCCCGUCACACCAUGGGAGUCGGUAACACCCGAAGUCGGUAGCCUAACCGUAAGGAGGGCGCCGCCGAAGGUGGGAUUGAUGACUGGGGUGAAGUCGUAACAAGGUAUC
RNAcentral lists this ribosomal RNA (247 nucleotides) under uncultured bacterium. RNAcentral describes it as "partial 16S ribosomal RNA". It matches the Rfam family "Bacterial small subunit ribosomal RNA", at positions 1254 to 1500 of the family's 1533-position model. The record is from RNAcentral.